GUUGUUGGGUAGGGGAGCGUUCUGUAAGCCGUUGAAGGUGACCUGUGAGGGUUGCUGGAGGUAUCAGAAGUGCGAAUGCUGACAUAAGUAACGAUAAUGCGGGUGAAAAACCCGCACGCCGGAAGACCAAGGGUUCCUGUCCAACGUUAAUCGGGGCAGGGUGAGUCGACCCCUAAGGCGAGGCUGAAAAGCGUAGUCGAUGGGAAACAGGUUAAUAUUCCUGUACUUGGUGUUACUGCGAAGGGGGGACGGAGAAGGCUAGGCUGGCCGGGCGACGGUUGUCCCGGUUUAAGCGUGUAGGGGGAGUGACCAGGUAAAUCCGGUUGCUUAUCAACCCUGAGGCGUGAUGACGAUGCACCACGGUGCAGAAGCAGUUGAUGCCAUGCUUCCAGGAAAAGCCUCUAAGCAUCAGGUAACAUUAAAUCGUACCCCAAACCGACACAGGUGGUCAGGUAGAGAAUACUCAGGCGCUUGAGAGAACUCGGGUGAAGGAACUAGGCAAAAUGGUGCCGUAACUUCGGGAGAAGGCACGCUGGCGUUAGGUGAAAGGACUAGCUCCUGGAGCUGAAGCCAGUCGCAGAUACCAGCUGGCUGCAACUGUUUAAUAAAAACACAGCACUGUGCAAACACGAAAGUGGACGUAUACGGUGUGACGCCUGCCCGGUGCUGGAAGGUUAAUUGAUGGGGUCAGCCGCAAGGGGAAGCUCUUGAUCGAAGCCCCAGUAAACGGCGGCCGUAACUAUAACGGUCCUAAGGUAGCGAAAUUCCUUGUCGGGUAAGUUCCGACCUGCACGAAUGGCGUAAUGAUGGCCAGGCUGUCUCCACCCGAGACUCAGUGAAAUUGAACUCGCUGUGAAGAUGCAGUGUACCCGCGGCAAGACGGAAAGACCCCGUGAACCUUUACUAUAGCUUGACACUGAACAUUGAGCCUUGAUGUGUAGGAUAGGUGGGAGGCCUUGAAGUGUGGACGCCAGUCUGCAUGGAGCCAACCUUGAAAUACCACCCUUUAAUGUUUGAUGUUCUAACUCGGCCCCAUGAUCUGGGGUGAGGACAGUGUCUGGUGGGUAGUUUGACUGGGGCGGUCUCCUCCC
RNAcentral lists this ribosomal RNA (1091 nucleotides) under Yersinia pestis 351001. RNAcentral's name for it is "bacterial LSU rRNA". It matches the Rfam family "Bacterial large subunit ribosomal RNA", at positions 1220 to 2291 of the family's 2925-position model. Lineage: Bacteria; Pseudomonadati; Pseudomonadota; Gammaproteobacteria; Enterobacterales; Yersiniaceae. The record is from RNAcentral.